AAGUGGAGCAAUCCAUGAGUAAAGUGGCGCACGGGUGAGUAACACGUGACUAACCUACCUUCGAGUGGGGGAUAACCUCGGGAAACCGGGGCUAAUACCGCAUAACAUCGCAAGAUCAAAGCAGCAAUGCGCUGGAAGAGGGGGUCGCGGCUGAUUAGCUAGUUGGCGGGGUAACGGCCCACCAAGGCGAAGAUCGGUAUCCGGCCUGAGAGGGCGCACGGACACACUGGAACUGAAACACGGUCCAGACUCCUACGGGAGGCAGCAGUGGGGAAUUUUGCGCAAUGGGGGAAACCCUGACGCAGCAACGCCGCGUGGAGGAUGAAGCCCCUUGGG
Molecule: ribosomal RNA, 336 nt
Filed under: uncultured bacterium
Lineage: Bacteria
Description: bacterial SSU rRNA
Rfam family: Bacterial small subunit ribosomal RNA
Source: RNAcentral